UUUUAUAUCGCGCUUCUUUGAAAUUCAAUAUAAGAAUGGUAACAACGUGCACGAUUUACAAAAUAAUUAAUUUUUAUUUCUAUUUCUGUGCCGGUGAAAUCAGGAAGAUAAUGAUAAUAGUGGUAAUGAUAACACAAUCUGAUAAACUAUAAUCUAACUAACGGGUGCGAAUGCUAGUAGUGUAAAAGUAGUACAUUUCCGCGAUUCAAUUCAUUUGAAUAUAUUCACUUAAUUAAUGUUAAAUAGCAACGUGGGUUCGUUAAGAAGGAUACCAAAACAUUAGCAAGAAGUUAUUGGCUUGGUUGAUGAUCACUUGAUUUGAUAAUAAUCUUCGUUGGAAUCGAGGAAAGUAUAUUAAAUGAAAAAAAUUUCAGAAUCCAUAGAUACACGAUGAUAAUCGUAGAAUUUUAAAAAUGAAUUUCAUGGGAUAAGAAACGUAUCGUGUAACUGAAAAUAUGUGCUAGAUACAUAUUUUGUUCACAUGAGAUCCAGAUCAAUCAGGAUAAAAUAAGAAAAUCAAAUAUUUAAUUUAUUACGUAAAAGAGAUUCAAAUGAAAAGUAGAUAAAUUUCAUAAAUAUUUAUUAUCAACUUAUGCAACUUAGGACAUUAAACAAAAUUUAUGCAUUAAAAAUAAUAUCGAAUAAUAGAAAAAAUAAUAAACAAGUAAUAUUAGUUUUAUAUUAUUUUUUAUCUUUUGUUAAAAUAUAAGUUCUAUUACAUAAUUAUUAUUUUGUAUUUAAGAAAAUCUAAUAUAAUAUGAUUUUUUAAAAUAUCUUACAUGACAAUUAACGAAUAGGAAAUAAGAUAUUUUAAUUUUGCUCUUUAAAUUGAUAUUGUAGAGGUUUCUAUGCAAUCCUCGUUGAUAGCACGACGUAAUUAAUAUUAACAGAGAAAACAGAGUACAGUAUGCUUAAUAAAUCUUUAUUAUGUGCUCGUGAAGCAAGAACUGACCUGCCGCUAUUCUCAGAUCUACAUCGUCACAGUUUCAUUACCAGCAAUUAUGCAAUGUGAAAUAAGAUAAUUUGUGAAUUUUUUUCGCGAUCAACGCUAAAGAAUAAACAUUAGAAUAAACGCAAAGAAAAGUAAAUACGCUGAACUCAUUUUGAACAAUUUUACAUCUUAAUCUUUUUAAAAUAAUAAUAAUGAAUAUAAUAACAACAACAAUAAUAACAGUACUAAAAAAUCUAAAAAUUUAAUUAUCAUUCCAAUUUCAUUUCUACGAUAUUCCAUUAAUGCUACCUCAAUAUUGAACUGUAAAAUAUUUCCUAUUUUAUCUAGAAUACUCGAUAAUAAAUAAGGUAAAUCAUUCGUUUUACAAUGAUAUUGCGUAAAAAAACAGUUCGUGUAUAUAAUCAUAUUUAUAUCAUUUACUGGUGUAUGAUUAUUUAGCUAAGAGAAUGGGCAUCGUUACGUUGUUGCAAAGCUGCGUUGAUGCUAAGGUAACGGUCUACCUGUGCCCGCCUCCAAACUGUACAAAAGACUCCGUUCUUUUUCGAGCGUAAUUAACCCGUGUCUUCGAUACGGUUGGAACAUUUUCGGGACAUUUUCACAAAGCAAAAAGUAAACGGAGUACUAAACGGAGAAAUCCGUUUGAUUUCGUAUUUUUGCGCGGUCAUCCUUGUCCCGAUUGAACAUUUUAUUCAUUAAUAUCGAACUCUUACUCUUGUUGCUGAUUUUAUUGUCUUUCGUUCGAUUUUUAUUCCAUCGCGAAGAAUGAAAUAUCUACGUGUUUUUGAAAAUGUUGUAUCAAAAUGAGUUUAUUUUUACUUUCGAUUUGAGCACGCGUGCACGGUUGGCUGAUGAUCUAACAGGAUGUUAAUUUUUUGGAUCACUAACUACAUUGAAUUCCAACUGUACGGAACAACAGCUCGAUGGAAUUUGUUUCGAGGAAUACCGACACUGUAGAAUUUUUAACUUUGUUCAAAAUUAUGUGAAAUAUUUCGUAUCACAGCUUUCCUUCGGCUAACUAAACUGGUAAAAUAGUUUUCGCAAAAUAACGAAAUGCUUGGCAUAGGAAUUCCAAAGAACAUCGAUCCAAGGAAUUUCAACUUCACAGAACAUUAGCUCCGCGAGAUUUUGUAGAGUAAUGGCCUUCACGGAUAUUUCAAGUGCGCGUACUCGAUGUUAUAUUUUAUAUAUCGGAUAAAAUUUCGAUUUCGAAACGCAUUUAUCCUUCUUAAAUUCUAAAGAAUCCUUCUCAUCCAAGUCGCAAAAUAAAUAUUUCAAUUAGCAUAAACGUUCACAGAAUCGUAUAAAACGGUAUAUUAAUUAUACUUGUGUAAUUAACGUCUUCAAUCCAAUAUCAAAAUCAAUUUAUCCCGAAUAAAAACUUUUACUGUCGUACCUUCGUGGAACGCGAUACAAGCAUCGUAGAAUUGCGUGAAAAAUUCGAUAUCGGAAAGCACAAUUCGCUAAAUAAAUUCGACGCAGCAAACAGUUCCGCGAUUGCACCAGCGGUGACGGACACUGUCGUUUUAGAUCGUCGUUUCACCGCAAAUUGUCUGAAUAUUUUAGAGCAGGGGAACCGGUUGCAGCGACGUCUAUGAUAAAGCGUAUAUAAUUCCCUUGUCGACGAGUUGCGUUAUAGGUGAAGGUUACCGAGUUCGUGACGUUCGUCGCUUGAUAAUAAAUAAAACCGAAAAGCGAGAAAAAGAAGUGUUAGCGUGCGGCAUGCGUAACGUGUGUGUCAUUGCGAGCGCGAGAAAUGCUUGAUUUUUGCAUGACUUGAACGAAAUGUCGUCGCAUGAUCGAGAGUGACUGGAAUCUGCAACGAUCACAAGUGUCAAUUUUAUAGUGUUAUAUAAUUAAAUGUAUUUCAAUGAUAAUUUAAAUAUUUAUUACGAUAGGAACAGAGAUAUUGAUAUUGCCAAUAAAUGGACCUGUAUGGAGAUUUAUCGUUGCACAGGUUUUUUCUUGAGUUUAACGUUUUUUAUUUUUUGGAUAGUUAAAAAUUAAAUAGAGUAUUAAUUAUUUAUAUUGAUAUCGUGGCAAAUCGACCUGUAUACAAAUUUAUUAUUGCACAGGUGUAUAAUGUAGUAGAUUUUGAUGAAAUUAAAUACAGUAAAUAUGUGA
Apis cerana (Asiatic honeybee) is the source of this 3073-nucleotide long non-coding RNA. RefSeq lists it as uncharacterized. NCBI's taxonomy places the organism in Eukaryota, Metazoa, Arthropoda, Insecta, Hymenoptera, Apidae. The record is from RefSeq and is a predicted model, not a curated record.